Molecule: transfer RNA, 70 nt
Filed under: Tineola bisselliella
Lineage: Eukaryota; Metazoa; Arthropoda; Insecta; Lepidoptera; Tineidae
Description: tRNA-Thr
Source: RNAcentral
GUUUUUAUAGUUUAAAUAUAAAACAUUGGUUUUGUAAACCAAAAUUAAUAAUAAUGAUAAUUUAAAAACU